GACGAACGCUGGCGGCGUGCUUAACACAUGCAAGUCGAACGAUGACGACCGGGCUUGCUCGGUCUGAUUAGUGGCGAACGGGUGAGUAACACGUGAGCAACCUGCCCUUCACUCUGGGAUAACCUCGGGAAAUCGGGGCUAAUACCGGAUAUGAGCUCCUGUCGCAUGGCGGGUGUUGGAAAGUUUUUCGGUGAAGGAUGGGCUCGCGGCCUAUCAGUUUGUUGGUGAGGUAGUGGCUCACCAAGGCGAUGACGGGUAGCCGGCCUGAGAGGGCGACCGGCCACACUGGGACUGAGACACGGCCCAGACUCCUACGGGAGGCAGCAGUGGGGAAUAUUGCACAAUGGGCGAAAGCCUGAUGCAGCGACGCCGCGUGAGGGAUGACGGCCUUCGGGUUGUAAACCUCUUUCAGCAGGGAAGAAGCGAAAGUGACGGUACCUGCAGAAGAAGCGCCGGCUAACUACGUG
Molecule: ribosomal RNA, 467 nt
Filed under: uncultured bacterium
Lineage: Bacteria
Description: partial 16S ribosomal RNA
Rfam family: Bacterial small subunit ribosomal RNA
Source: RNAcentral